CCCCACUGCUAUCGGGAUGGGACUAAGACAUGCUAGUCGAGCGUCUCUAAGCUAUGGAAGAGACGCGGCACACAGCUCAGUAACACGUGGCUAACCUGCCCUUGGGACAAGGACAACUCCGGGAGACUGGGGCUAAUCCCUGAUAAGUGAGAACUCCUGGAAUGGAUUCUCGCUGAAAGGACGUUUAGACCAUGCUUCUAGGCGUCGCCCAAGGAGGGGGCCGCGACCGAUCAGGUUGUUGGUGAGGUAACGGCUCACCAAGCCUUUAACCGGUACGGGCCGUGAGAGCGGAAGCCCGGAGAUGGGCACUGAGACAAGGGCCCAGGCCCUACGGGGCGCAGCAGUCGCGAAAACUCCGCAAUACACGAAAGUGUGACGGGGCCAUCCCGAGUGCCAUCCGCUGAGGAUGGCUUUUCCCCAGUGUAUAAAGCUGGGGGAAUAAGGAGAGGGCAAGCCUGGUGUCAGCCGCCGCGGUAAUACCAGCUCUCCGAGUGGUGGGGAUGUUUAUUGGGCCUAAAGCAUUCGUAGCCUGCUUGGCAAGUCCUCCGUUAAAUCCAACGAUUCAAUCGUUGGGCUGCGGGGGAUACUGUCCAGCUAGGGGGCGGGAGAGGCCGACGGUAUCCCCGGGGUAGGGGUGAAAUCCUAUAAUCCCGGGAGGACCACCAGUGGCGAAGGCUGUCGGCUAGAACGCGCUCGACGGUGAGGGAUGAAAGCUGGGGGAGCGAACCGGAUUAGAUACCCGGGUAGUCCCAGCUGUAAACGAUGCAGGCUAGGUGUUGGCGCGGCUACGUGCCGCUCCAGUGCCGCAGGGAAGCCGUUAAGCCUGCCGCCUGGGAAGUACGGCCGCAAGGCUGAAACUUAAAGGAAUUGGCGGGGAGCACCACAAGGUGUGAAGCUUGCGGUUUAAUUGGAGUCAACGCCGGA
Molecule: ribosomal RNA, 924 nt
Filed under: uncultured archaeon
Lineage: Archaea
Description: bacterial SSU rRNA
Rfam family: Archaeal small subunit ribosomal RNA
Source: RNAcentral